Molecule: non-coding RNA, 95 nt
Organism: Acanthosepion pharaonis
Lineage: Eukaryota; Metazoa; Mollusca; Cephalopoda; Sepiida; Sepiidae
Source: the annotation of a GenBank genome assembly
UGAAAAACCGGAGACUCGUAUGAUCACCGAAGUUAAGCAAUGUUGAGUCUGGUCAGUACCUAGAUGGGUGACCGCUUGCGAAUAACAGGUGCUGU